RNAcentral lists this ribosomal RNA (458 nucleotides) under uncultured bacterium. RNAcentral describes it as "partial 16S ribosomal RNA". It matches the Rfam family "Bacterial small subunit ribosomal RNA", at positions 338 to 795 of the family's 1533-position model. The record is from RNAcentral.
CCUACGGGAGGCUGCAGUGAGGAAUAUUGGUCAAUGGGCGAGAGCCUGAACCAGCCAAGUCGCGUGAGGGAGUACUGCCCUAUGGGUUGUAAACCUCUUUUGUCGGGGAGCAAAAGCCGGACGUGUCCGGCUGUGAGAGUACCCGAAGAAAAAGCAUCGGCUAACUCCGUGCCAGCAGCCGCGGUAAUAUGGAGGAUGCGAGCGUUAUCCGGAUUUAUUGGGUUUAAAGGGUGCGCAGGCGGAUUUUUAAGUCAGCGGUAAAAUCGUGGGGCUCAACCCCAUCCAGCCGUUGAAACUGGGGAUCUAGAGUGUGCGAGAGGUAUGCGGAAUGCGUGGUGUAGCGGUGAAAUGCAUAGAUAUCACGCAGAACCCCGAUUGCGAAGGCAGCAUACCGGUGCACAACUGACGCUCAGGCACGAAAGCGUGGGUAUCGAACAGGAUUAGAUACCCUUGUAGUC